This 257-nucleotide ribosomal RNA is filed under the name uncultured bacterium. RNAcentral's name for it is "partial 16S ribosomal RNA". It matches the Rfam family "Bacterial small subunit ribosomal RNA", at positions 75 to 334 of the family's 1533-position model. The record is from RNAcentral.
CUUGCUUUCUUUGCUGGCGACCGGCGCACGGGUGAGUAACACGUAUCCAACCUGCCCUUUACUCGGGGAUAGCCUUUCGAAAGAAAGAUUAAUACCCGAUAGCAUAAUGAUUCCGCAUGGUUUCAUUAUUAAAGGAUCCGGUAAAGGAUGGGGAUGCGUUCCAUUAGGUUGUUGGUGGGGUAACGGCCCACCAAGCCUUCGAUGGAUAGGGGUUCUGAGAGGAAGGUCCCCCACAUUGGAACUGAGACACGGUCCAA